AUGGAAGCUCCGGACGAACUCGGAGCGCGUGAGCGCAAUCAACGAUUACAGACCCCGCCACAUCGCCCUCAACGAUUUUCCUCCUCCGCCUCUCCCCACUUCCACGCCCCGACACAUCGUGCGUACGUACGUACCUACGCGCGCGCCCAAGUUCCCGACGGCCGCCGGCGAUGGCGCUCGCGUCCCGGUUCUGCUCGCCGCCGCCGUCCCAGUGCGGCAUCAUGCUGGGAGGGGGGCCCUUCUUCCCGGGCUUCGGCGUGGACUGCGAGGAGCACGCAUCUCAGGACUACACGCCGCCGGCCCCUCCGCCGUCGCCGGAUUACACUCCGCCGGCCCCUCCCCCGUCGCCGGAUGAUGACACACCGUCGGGCCCUCCGCCGCUCGCGAGCUCCAAGGACUGCACUCCCUCGGCUCCUCCGCCGUCGCCGGAUUACGCUGCCUCGGGCCCUCCGCCAUCGCCAGACUACACUCCCUCGUGCCCUCCACCGUCGCCGGAUUACGCUUGGUCGGACCCUGCUGCUCGGUUCGCUUCCCCGGCGAAGACGCCUUCGCCGCGACCCGCGUCCCCAGGCCCAGAGUACACGCCGUCAGAGCACGCUGCUGCAUCACCUUACUACACUUGGUCGUCUCCUCCUCCGCACGCUUCUUCUCCGGAUUACACGCCCACCAGGCCGUCUCCGCCGCCCUGGUGCUGCAGUCCGGCGCGAGGUCGUGGGCGCCGCCGUAUCACACUCACGCACCGCCGCUUCCUUCCAGUGGCGCCGCGUAGCCGGACUACGCGCCCAGCAUGCUGCCUCUGUUGCCCACGGUGUUAAUUAG
RNAcentral lists this ribosomal RNA (819 nucleotides) under Triticum aestivum (bread wheat). RNAcentral's name for it is "partial small subunit ribosomal RNA". Lineage: Eukaryota; Viridiplantae; Streptophyta; Magnoliopsida; Poales; Poaceae. The record is from RNAcentral.